CUUCGCGGCCCUAGAACGGCCUGAGGGGGAGAGGUUUUAGUCGGUAGGCGUCCUUCGGGAUGAAUCCGACACUACCCGGUCGCCCCACGGGCGGCCGGGUGUCUUUCGAAGAUUUCCUCUCCUCCACGAA
Non-coding RNA from Agrilus planipennis (emerald ash borer), 130 nucleotides. NCBI's taxonomy places the organism in Eukaryota, Metazoa, Arthropoda, Insecta, Coleoptera, Buprestidae. The record is from Rfam.